CGCACGCGUGAGUCGUGACUCUUCCCAAGUUAAAAACGCUCUCUUCCAACGUUUUCAGGAGAGGAAAUCUCUCUCUUUCCUCUUCCCUCUCCCCUCACCGACGGCCGGCCACCGGAGACCACAAACGCAAGCACCGCUGAAGACGAGCGACCCACGUCUACACCGUUAAAAUCCCCAAAUUUCAAAACCCCAACCCAGUGUCAAAAUCCAUCUUCCCUCUCUCCCACUGACGACGAAACGCACAGAAAAAAAAUUGAAAGUGAAAUCACACCGACAAAAGCGGUUUUGGGAGUAGGUGGUUUUGGGAAUCGAUAAUGCAUAUGGCGAAUACGGAGUUUUACCAAACGGAUUGCGAGUCGAUUUUGUCACAAAUUAAGCACCAAGAGAAGCAGAUUAUACUCAAAAGAAGAUGGUUAUUGGGGCUUCCUGUAUCCAAAUCUAAACGGAAGCAGUUUGAAGGACCCAAGUUUUUGAAUUAUAGCAGGUCUUUACCCGAGUCUUUGCUUAGGGAUGAUGAUAUGUUCUAUGAGACCAUAAAAGCGUGUGUUGAAGAAGCCUUUGGAGCGUGUAAUGCUGAAGGAAAUGUUAUGCAAGAUGAAAUGAAAUUGUUUGGCACACACAAUAUAACAAGAACAAUUAUGUCAUGCCUUGACGAUUUGACCAAUAAGGGGCUAUACCUUCUUGCUAUGGUUCUUACUGGAGGCUCUUCAAAGUUUGAGAAAACUCGUUGGAGGAUGAAGAAAGUAAUUAGAGAUCAUCUUCCAAAAGUUCUUGGAAGCCGGAAUCACAAUCAUCAUCAAAUGGAAAUUUGUAGAGAGCUAUCUCAGCUUCUCUUUGACCCACAAAAUUUUCGAGCAAAAUGUGUGCCCUUUUUGACUCCCCAAUCCCAAUCUCAUCAUGCUGCUGUAACUAAGGUCCUGUGCGAACUACAGAACUUGCCUUGUGCGGCCCUGUUUGCAAUGUACAGGAAACUUAAAGGUGCCCAAGCAGGCAAGCCUCAAUUAGUUCCCCACAGACAUGGAUGGGGUCGAGAUUAUUUAAUCAAAAAACUAAGGAAAUCUAGCGAAGAGAUGCUUUCGGAACUUGCUGAAGGGGAUGAAUUACAAGAGCCACUAGCCAAAGCAAUGGCAAUACCAGGCUUAUUGCUAAAGCUAACUCCAGGUUUUCAAAAUUCCUCUGUAACAGAGUUUUAUCCAUUCUCUUCAGAAAUAAAAAACCUGCAGAAUGAGAUAGCAAAGGCUAUUUGGUCACUAGAAAAGAAGAUUAGGUUACCAGAGCUGAAAAACUUGCAGCUUCUAUUAGAUCCAAAUGCUAAAGUAUCAAAUCGGUCUUUACGAGCUGGAAUUAGGAAAAUGUUAUAUGAAUAUCUCUUUGAGUGCAGUGAAAUGGAUGCCAUUCCCAAGUCUCUAUUGGAAGCUCUUGCUUUUAUCAAUAGUAACUCUCGAAGUACACCGCUUGGAUGCUUCAGAAAGGAGGAAGUUGAAGAAGUAGUAGAAUGCAUAUUGACUGUGAGUGCUCACACAAAGCAGAUUGUUUUGGAUUUUCUGCCUGACCAUGACUUUGAUCAAGAUUUUGCUGAUGCAUAUAUGGAGGAAUUAGAAGAAAGUGACAAUGGUGGUGAUGAUGGUGAUGAUGAUGGUUGGCUUCAGGAAGGUAGAAGCUCUCAGAGUUGUAGGUCUCACUCUAUUGAUUCAGAUUACCAAGUAGAAGGUACUGGGGAGUCAAUACCAUUCGAUUUUAAGCCACCUACCCCUACGACUAAGGAGAAUGGCUCUUCCUCUUUCCUUACUCCCCAAAAAAGUUUAGACAGUGAUUUUGUUGGGGGCCCUGAACCUAAGCAUUUUGCAAAAAUGGAUUCCGUCACUUGUCAUGGUAUCACUUCCUCUCCAUUCUGCGAGUCGAGAUCUUUUAGCAGCAUGGUACACAUGGAUAUGAGCCAAAUCAAAGUUGAAGGUAUUAGUGAAUCCAACAUGCCUAAAACAAAUGGAAAUAAUUUUCCCUCACCUGUUUCAGCAAACAGAAGGAUCGAGAGAUGUGAACCUGAAUGCAAUUCUGGAGUAGAUCCAGCAAACUCUCCACCUUUCAUUUCUUCAAACUUUUCAUGUGGGGAGCGAAAAGCUGUCAAUGACGAGCAAAGCACGAGUAAGAACCAAUACCUUGCCAUCCAAGAAGUUUGUGAUGAAACAAGUGUGGUUGCCUACAAUCUCAUUGGUCAUUUGCUGGAGGAGUUUGCAAAAAGAGAAGGCUUAGAUUUGGACUGGAGAGAGAGUUUGUAUCUAAGAGGUGACAAUUCAGUUGAAGAAGAUUCUCAAGUGGCAGAAGAAGAGCCGACUUCAUUUGAGAAGUGUGAUGGAGGUUCAGUUGUUCAAGUAGUUGAAGAGCUACCUUUCCUUCCUAAGAGUGGAAUAGAAAGAUUGAAGAAAUUGAUGGGCUUGUGAUAGCAUUCUUUGAGGCUUUGGUGCUCUAUCAGAAUACCCCAGAAGGCUUUUGAAUGUUUCUGCAUUCUUACCAGUUUCCCCCACACCCUUUUCUGACACUGAGAUCAUCCUCCUAAAUCUUGUGGGCCAUGAGCUGCAUCGGAAAUCAAAUGAAGUUAUCCAGAGGUAAUUCUGUGGACUUUCAAGAUGGCACUGUAUUUCUAAAGCUGCCCAGAUUUUAUGUGUCUAGUCUGGUAAUUAGCUUCGAAUAUAAGAGAAAAAAAAAGGGAAAAAAGAAAGAGAGAGGAUGCUGUCUGUGUAAAACGGGAAAUUCAAUCGUAUAGGUAUUUCUUUGUUCAUAUGUUUAUUCAACCGUACAUAUUCUGAAAAUUACUGACACUGUUUCAAUUGGUUAACAGGAUGAGUUUGAUUAAAUAUACAGUAGUUACUUAUUCUGUA
RNA transcript from Corylus avellana, 2876 nucleotides. It is a transcript of the gene named DNA double-strand break repair protein, with no coding region annotated. Lineage: Eukaryota; Viridiplantae; Streptophyta; Magnoliopsida; Fagales; Betulaceae. The record is from RefSeq and is a predicted model, not a curated record.